UGAGCAUUGCGGGAGGACCAGAUCCACUGUCAUCCUUCUGCAGAAGAGAGUGUGCAUAGCUAAUCCAGUGUGUACACAAGUGGAAGUGCUUAAGGCAAUGGUUGAACCUUAAAAGGAACUCCUAUCUGCAAUUGGUGACUGCCUGAGAAGGAUUUUUCUCCUGCCAAUAAUUGUUGUUCACCUGUGACCCCUUUUUGGUAAACUCAUAGAUGUUCCAUUACUUCUUUUAAAAAAGGUGCUUUGAAUAAGAAUGUGUUCCAUUAAGCAGGCAAGUCUAAGCAAGUGCCUAACAGCAGUGCCCGUGAAGUUCAUCAGAGGAAUGCUGAUUGAUUUUCUUUAAAUAGACCAGAGAAGAGGUAGAGCAUUAGGCUUGUCUAAACAAUAUGCAAGUCAGCAUGGGACUACGCAUUUUAAAAGAGCAAAAAUGGAUUCAUUCCAGCAGCACAGUAUAGCGCUGAGAAUAGCCUAAGUGUGGCAAUUUAGGCUCAAAGUUUUAAAGGCAUAUUUUCCAUUGGUUUAAAGAGGAAAUAUUACCAUAGAUUCAUAGGAUGGCUUGGGUUGGAAGGGACCUCAAGGAUCAUCAGGUUCCAACCUCCCUGCCACUGUUCUUCAUGAGGAGAUGCUCAUACUUUUAAAAUCAUGACAUCAGCACCUGGGUGUAGUUCAUGCUGCAGAGCUUCUUCCUUGCUGGUGCACCUGAG
Molecule: long non-coding RNA, 701 nt
Filed under: Gallus gallus (chicken)
Lineage: Eukaryota; Metazoa; Chordata; Aves; Galliformes; Phasianidae
Source: RNAcentral